This is a long non-coding RNA of Triplophysa rosa, 1246 nucleotides long. RefSeq lists it as uncharacterized. NCBI's taxonomy places the organism in Eukaryota, Metazoa, Chordata, Actinopteri, Cypriniformes, Nemacheilidae. The record is from RefSeq and is a predicted model, not a curated record. The transcript is spliced from 3 exons.
GAGAGAGAGAGAGAGAGAGAGAGAGAGACAAGUCCUUAAACGUGACCACACAUACAAACAUGCUGGCUGGAAGCCGGCAGCUGGAGGGUGGAGAGGUCGGAGUCUCCAAAGUCUCGGCCUGAUUAAAACUCCCAGCACAGCCACUCACUCCCUCUGGAUUGAUUAACCUGACCUGUAUCGGAUCAACCCCUCGGGACAAGAGCACAGCCCACUUUCCUGAAGUGGAUGAGCACGGCGUGGGAUGGGAGAGAGUCAGAACGGUGUAUGGGGGAAAGUAGGACCGUGCAGAAAGCGGAGAGAGACCAGACCAGACUUGCAGGUCCCAGGUGAGCAACGUGACCAUUGGGUUGGCAAAUGGCCUGUUAUUGUUGGUCAUGCUACGAGAGAGAGUUUGGUGUUUGGAACCCACAGCUUUCUGCCCUGACAGUGCCCCUCUCCUCCACCACAUUAGCUGGGGCUGUUCCCAGCGACUGCUUUGAUGGAGCAGCUUGAGUCCUGCUUUUGGCUCUGCGGGCCUGCUUUGAGUGCCUCUGACUCACAGCAGUGUGGUUCUGGAGCGGCCCUUCGCUCUGGCGGUGAGGCCGGCUGGAGGAGCCGGGGAGAGGGGCGCUGUCACAGACCUCUCACCCCACUGCACGCUGGGCAUCGGGGCUCAGCGCGCAUCGGCCCACUAUGACUUGCCUGUCAAUGUGAAAUAGCAUUUGCAUCUAUUUACCUACUUUCUCAGAAAAAUGGGAUAGUCAAAUAUUUACAUUUAAUAAUUUAGCAGACGCUUUUAUCCAAAGCGACUUGCAAAUGAGGCAAACAAUAGAAGCACUCACAUCAGUGAAAGGGCAAUAAUGCGCAGAUAUAUAGAAAAGUGUGACCUAAUAUUUACCUUAAUAUACAAUUUUAAUAAUCUAUAUAAUAACAUCUUAUUUUAUUACCAACUUAUUUGUUGUUGUGUAUAGUGAUUUGUAUAUUUCAUGUCACUACUUGGUUUGGUUGUAUAAUGCUUUUGAAAUAUUGUAACUAGUGAACACUCAUGCCGAUAAAAUACAUUUCAACUCAAAUUAAAGAUUGGAAAAAUGUGCAUCAUUGCAUAUGCAGACCAGGAACGUGCUAUUAUUAUUAUUAUAUUAAUAAAGUAAACAUGGUCAACUUCUGUUGGCUUCCAACAACCAAGGACUGCGAAUAACUGGAUACAAAAUGUGUUAAUUACACAAAUGAAUCAGUGAAGGAGGAGGAGGGGGAAGAAAGAAGUGAC